RNA transcript from Macadamia integrifolia, 2318 nucleotides. It is a transcript of the gene named inactive beta-amylase 4, chloroplastic, with no coding region annotated. Lineage: Eukaryota; Viridiplantae; Streptophyta; Magnoliopsida; Proteales; Proteaceae. The record is from RefSeq and is a predicted model, not a curated record. The transcript is spliced from 12 exons.
GUUGUACACCUGCAAACGUUGCUUCGAGCUUCGAGGUUAAUCUCGUUAUAUCAGACACAGAGAGAGAGAGAGAGAGAGAAGGAGAAGGAAACCUAAAUCGAGCUUGAACUUCAAAAUGAAAAUUGCAGAAAUAUCCUUGUGGUGGCGGCUCUGAGACGGAAACCUGUCUCGCUGGUUGUUUCGAUGCUCGAGCUUAUGCGACAAAACGAUCAACCGAUCAAGAUGGCUCAGAAUGGUGGUGUCGCGGCAAUCGCUUACAAAUGCUCUGAGAGGAGAAUAUACAGUUUCAGAAAAGUUCUAUUUGAUAAGAGAAAAACUAGGAAAAAUCUCAAAACUAUUUCUGUGAUACCUCUUUUCAAGAAGGGUCUCCACAAAUGUGGAUCUGCUGUCGGUAAUUGCUUCAUCCUGGGAAUGGCUUACAGAGAGAAAUCCAGAUCCACAAUUUUGGAGUCAACGAAACAUAAAAGGGUUCCUAUCUUUGUCAUGAUGCCUGUUGAUGCAUUUUGUGUUGAUACUUCUGGGGUUCCAAGGAUUAGAAAAAUCAAGGCGUUAACUAUGUCUCUAAAAGCGCUCAAGUUGGCAGGUGUUCAUGGAAUCGCAGUAGAGGUUUGGUGGGGCAUUGUGGAGCGACAUUCUCCUUUUUCUUAUAAUUGGUCUCUAUAUGAAGAGCUCUUCAAUCUUGUAUCUCAGUCUGGGCUGAAGUUACAGGUUGCAUUGUGUUUUCAUUCUAAUGUGCAUUCAUCUUCUAAGGGAAAAGGGGGUGUCAGUCUUCCACUGUGGAUUAUGGAGAUUGGCUAUCUGAAUAGGGAUAUCUAUUAUCGAGACCAAACGGGGUCUUCGAAUGAUGAUUAUCUUACAUUAGGAGUGGACCAUCUACCUUUAUUUUGUGGUCGAACUGCGCUCCAGUGCUAUGAAGAUUUUAUGCUUAGUUUUGUAAAAACAUUUCAAUCACUUAUGGGAAACGUAAUUGAAGAAGUAAGCGUUGGACUUGGCCCUUCUGGGGAACUGAGGUACCCGGCCCAUCCUUUUGAUGAUGGUAGAUGGAGAUUUCCUGGAAUUGGUGAGUUCCAGUGUUACGAUAAGUACAUGAUGGAGGACUUGAAGAGGGCUGCAUGUGAGGCGGGAAGACCUCAGUGGGGAGAUAAGGGCCCGCAGAAUGCUGGCCGUUACAACAGUUUUCCGUCUGGAAUACCGUUCUUUGAAGAGGGAGGAGAAAGCUUUCUUUCCGAUUAUGGUCGCUUUUUUCUUGAAUGGUACAGUGGGAAGCUGAUUUGUCAUGCAGAUGCCAUUCUAGAAAAGGCUGCACAAUUGUUGAAGACAUAUGAAGAAACUGGGGCAAAUCCAGUUUUAUUAGUGGCCAAAAUUGGAGGAAUCUAUUGGUGGUACCAGACAGAUUCGCACCCGGCAGAACUAACAGCUGGUUACUACAACACAGCUCUAAGGGAUGGCUAUGAUCCAUUGGUUUCUGUGGUUUCUCGUCAUGGAGCUGCUUUGCAUAUCUCGUGCUUAGAAAUGAUUGACAGUGAGAUUCCACCUACCUAUCUAUGCAGCCCUGAAGGUCUACUCCAGCAGAUUCGUUCAUUAUCAAAGGAAAGGGUAAUACAACUCACUGGGAGAAAUGCUAAUGAAAGAUUUGAUAAGGCUGGACUCUUGCAAAUAAUUGCAAACUGUUACCAUCCACAGGCAGAGGCUGUACGGUCAUUCACUUAUUUCCGAAUGAAUGAUAAAAUUUUCAGGGUCGAGAAUUGGAACAACUUUGUCCCUUUUGUGAGAAGAAUGAAUACAGCAAUUCAUAGGACUAUUAAACUAGGAAAGAGUAAGUGGUAACAAGACAUUGGGAAGGCCAAGAGACUUGACGUGAUCAGAAAAGAAGCGAGUGGUUAUGAGUUGGAAGGAAGAAGAAGGCGUCCCCAGUGCAUGAGGCUCCUGCCACUGUGGAGUCUGGGGAGGAGCCAAGGAGCAAGUUGAAGGAAGACAUGGUCCAAGAUUCAAUGGAAUGGGAUUCAUGUGGCCAGACCGCCUAGGCCCCAGCAUCAGAUGUGUGGGUUGAAUGUAGAUAGAUUUUGGCGAGGAACAUCUAUGAUCCUUGAUAUGCAGAGCUUUUCUUGUGAUGGCUGUAUUUGGUUGCGAGGAAAAUGAAGGGAAAUGAAGUGAAAUUAGUAUGGAAAAGAAAAAAAAGUUUUGUUAUCAUGACUCUGUAAGUUGUCUAAAAUUCAUAUUAUAUUUGAUAAUUAUACUUCAGAUGUAAUCUUUAUUUAGAACUAAACAGAUUUGUUGCAAAGUAAAAUAAAAUUUAAACCAGAUUUGGGAUUUUUUUU